UUAAAUGGCUGAAAUUUAGGCAAUAGACUGUAAAUCUAUUUAUGAGAGUUAUUCUCUUUAAUCA
RNAcentral lists this transfer RNA (64 nucleotides) under Sarcophaga scopariiformis. Its description in RNAcentral is "tRNA-Tyr". It matches the Rfam family "tRNA". From Rfam's summary of the family: Transfer RNA (tRNA) molecules are approximately 80 nucleotides in length. The record is from RNAcentral. Lineage: Eukaryota; Metazoa; Arthropoda; Insecta; Diptera; Sarcophagidae.